This 1427-nucleotide long non-coding RNA is filed under the name Androctonus crassicauda. Lineage: Eukaryota; Metazoa; Arthropoda; Arachnida; Scorpiones; Buthidae. The record is from RNAcentral.
GGAUGUAAUCUUGAAAUAAAUAUUUUUUGAAAAAAUAUAUUUUGAACCAUAGGCAGUAAAAUAGGAAGGUUAUCAGAUGAUUUCUGAAAAUCAACACAGGUGUUCAUUCAGAAAUCAACACCUGUGUUGAUUUAUCUAUUAAAAGACUGAGGUAUGCCUUUAGCCACUUUAGUGUCGCCAUUAACAACAAAAUCGUUUGAAUUACAAACAGCCUUAACAGAGGUAAAGCUGUAGUCUCGAGAAUAUUAUCAUCAUUGUUAGGUAAUUUAUCACCUACUACUCGCCAAGAUAAUAUUACAUUAGAUUGUGGAAUAGAUUCACGAGCAAUAGUCAACUCUUCAGACAAUAAAUUAGCAUCUUUACAGGAAGAAAUUUCAUUUAAAACAAUAGACUUCUCAGAUAUCGGUCUCGGCAAAAUAAGCAUAUCCUGAUUCUGUAUCUCUUCACAAUUAGAUGACACCAACUGGGAUAAUAACUACCAGUAUCAGCACUUGUAUAAUUUAUAUUAACUGCCAACAAUUCCAUUAACGUAUCAGAUUCACAAAUAUCAUGAUUUUCGUGAUUUUUAUCUAUGUGUCUAUCAGUAUUCAUAUCAUGAGGUAAUAGCUUAGUUUUGUCAGCAUUCGAACGUUCAGAAUCCAAUCUCACACGUCCACCCUUACAACAAGAACAAACUAGCAAACUUCUAUUUCGUUUAGACAAUUUAUGAAAAUUAAUACACGAAAUACCAUAACAAUCCAAAUGUUCAAAUCUAUAGCAAGCAGAACAUUUAAUAUAAUCAUCAUCUGGUGGUAUACCCACUUGACAAGAAACACAGUCCAAAAAGUCAUCGGAAACAGUAACACGUGCAGCUUCCUGCAGAAACUCACCAGUAGCAGACAAUGCCAUCUCGCUUUUUUGCACAAUAAUGAAAGCGAAAGUUGGGAUAGUUAUUAAUAGCACAGCGCAAGUUGAAUAUAGGACGCUUUAACUUAAAGUUAUUAUUUUAUUAACAUUAAAUUGUAAUAAUUUUUCGACUGCAACAUGUGAUAAAACAACUUCGCGGGCCGUGCGAAUUCGCUUUGAGAGCCGGAUGCGGCCCAUGAGCCGCCAGUUUGACACCACUGAUAUAUGCUAUACUGUACUAUAUUAUGGCAGUUUAACAAAAUAAAUUUAAUACAACUUAAUCCUCAUUAAUAAAAUUAAUUCAACACAUAUAUGAGAAUCCAAAUGAAGGUAUAGAUAUUAUACAUGUAAUAAUACAUGUAAUUAUACAGCAUGUCUCAAAAGGUCGUUCCAAACGUAUCAUCUGGUCUCUCAUACCGAGCGAAAUAAGAUUGCAUAGAGUGUUAAAAUGUGUGGUAACAUCUUAUCAAUCCAGCAAAUAAAAAUUAGUACACAUGAAUUCUGUGGGGAUACAAAAUUAUAUGUUAUGUGGGGUUUCUGGG